Molecule: ribosomal RNA, 272 nt
Filed under: uncultured bacterium
Lineage: Bacteria
Description: partial 16S ribosomal RNA
Rfam family: Bacterial small subunit ribosomal RNA
Source: RNAcentral
UACAGAGGGUGCAAGCGUUGUCCGGAAUCACUGGGCGUAAAGGGCGCGUAGGCGGCCUGGUAAGUCGGGGUGAAACGACUGCGGCGUCAACCGCAGCACUGCCUUCGAGACUGCCUGGCUUGAGCACGGUAGAGGCUGGUGGAAUUCCCGGUGUAGCGGUGGAAUGCGUAGAGAUCGGGAAGAACAUCGGUGGCGAAGGCGGCCAGCUGGGCCGUUGCUGACGCUGAGGCGCGACAGCGUGGGGAGCAAACAGGAUUAGAAACCCGGGUAGU